Molecule: long non-coding RNA, 6094 nt
Filed under: Homo sapiens (human)
Lineage: Eukaryota; Metazoa; Chordata; Mammalia; Primates; Hominidae
Description: HSALNT0135704
Source: RNAcentral
GGACAGUUACUUGAGCCCAGGAGGUCAAAACUUUAGUGAGCUAUGAUCACAUCAUUUCACUCCAGCCUGGGCGACAGAAUGAGACCCUGUCCCUGCUCCCCCUCUCAACAAAAAGAGUCCUUAAGAACAAAAUAUACAAACAAGAAGGACAGACAUGAGGUAGGUAGAGUGAGAGUGGGAAUGAGGUAAAAGGCGGGGGGUGGGGGGGCGCUGUCUUUAGCAGGGAAUAAUUGAAGCACAAACGGCUGGUUUAUCUUUUCUUGGCCUUCAUUGUGGGUCUACUGUGGACUGCAUCUUCUGUGUAAGAUGCACUAAAGGAGCCUGCCUUUUGUCAGUUUGCACGUUGAUUUGAGACUCUUGUCCAAGAUUUCUUUCUGCAUUUUCAUUCAUUGCUUUGAAGUCAGUCUGAGUUUUAGUCUGGUCCUGCCCCUUGGGACUGCAGGAGGGGACAAAGGGGAACUCCCUGGAGUUUGAGAUUUGGGAAGAAUGUGCAGAGGGAAAAUGAGCAAAUGCCAAAUGUGCCGGCACUGCCAGCAGACGCGAGUGAGGGAUGGGGGCGCCUGAUAGCCCACAUCUCCAGGAGCAGAUUGUAAGCGUAAUCUCAAGGAUUCAUCCGCAGGGAGGAUCUGGGCAAGAACAAAAGCCCAGAAGUUUCUGUUUGUGUGGCAAGAUACAGAAACAGUGUGGGCUGAGAAGCAGAGGGGCAGGUCCUGCCUUUCGUGUAGCAAAAUGACAAUUACCCCAUCUUUCAGCAGGCUGUGCAGGAAGAGGUAAUUCGUUUAUGUUGUCUGUAAUUCUGCUGGCCUUCCCCCUACCCUGCCUCACAUCCUGGUUAGAAGGCAAAUAAGUCACUAACGUCCAGACAACCUAGUUUAAAGCUUCGAUCAUUUAAAUUGUCACUUUGGGUAGGUCCAGUAUCUGAUAAGAUUAAAAUGCUCCACCUUGCAGCCUUUAGCUCUGCCUACUUCUCACCCUAAGAUACUACUUCUCACCCCUGUCUGGGUACACAAAGAAAGAGAUGUGUGUGGGUCACACAGGACGGUGGUGGGGUGGGAGCGUCUCAGACACAUCCUCAGCAUUCUUUAUGUUCAGGGGCUUCCUGUGUCUACCUGGUGACUACUUGCCUGGCAUUCUAAGGUGGCAUAAAGGCUAUUUAAUGUGUGCUCUCUCGGCUUGACCACAGCGCAAAGCAAUACACUGAUGUGGCUUCACCGUGGCUUUCCUGUUGCUGUCUGGUUCUCUGAAACUGACAUUAGGUCCCUAUGCGGCAAUUUCUCCCUGCGGCCCUGGCUAUCUAGCCACCCUUCCCCAAGGUAAUUCUUAUCUUUCUCCCAUCAGCAUAGCUGGCUGCAUUUCUUUUUAAGGAGCAGAAGUCCUGCCUUUGCAAAAGCUGACCGUCUCAUUGCUUGAUUUCAUAACUGGGCUAAAUGUCACCAUGGGGGAAAAAAAUCUACCAUUAAGGCUACCCGUACAAAGAGACAUGAGCCCCCUGAAUUCCUCUGCAUUGACUGAUGUGUCAGAUCCAAAGUGUUUGGAGUAACCCGUUGUUCUGGCAUCCAGUGGAGAGGGCUUUCUUAGCCAGGACUGAAAGCUUGAGAGGCCUUUUAUUUCAAACCCUCUAAACUCCGUGCUCAAUGAGUAUGGAAAGUGUUGCAUGUGGAAAUCACCAGGGCGACUGGGGGAAAUGUUGCCAAAAGAGAAAGUUUCCAGUUCCUUGCUUUCAAAAGUGUGCACUGUGCCAUAUGUUGUGAGGUAAUACAGAUGCUCUGAAUGGGGGCGCCACAGCCAAGGAAAGCAAAUACAGUUCUAGUCCCUAAUCCCGGGCCAGUGCAGAACUACUAAGAAAGAGUGAAAGACCAGGCUGCUAGGAACCCAAGCAGUGCAAAAUGGAAGGAAGCUGCCCUGGGCCCAGAGCUUCAUUUUGUUUAGGAGGAGAAAAUGAGCUUGAAAGUGUCCCUGAAGCAGCAGUGUUCACAUUAACAGAUACCAUCUGGAAAUCAAAACUCAGAGUUUGUUUUUACAGAUUUGUACUGAAAACCUGCUCCAGCCAGGGAACCUCACAUCUCAGAAGUCUCCAGCAGGGCACUGAGAUGUAAACAAUCAUUUAGCAAAAUCCGGAGUCAAAAUGACAGACGAAGGCUGUUGUCUUCUCUUUAUGUAAAUCAAGAAGUGAGGUUGGAUGUGACCAAGUGCAUGGAGAUGUUACAGUUUGUAUUGAGGCAUUUGAAGUAAUUUUUUUUCUUUUUAAUUUUGCUGGGUACAUGGUAGGUGUAUAUAUUUAUGGGGUACAUCAGAUGUUUUGAUACAGCCGUGCAAUGUGUAAUAAUCACAUUGGAGUAAAUGGGGUAUCCAUCACCUCAAGCAUUUAUCAUUUCUUUCUUUCUUUUUUUUUUUUUUGAGACAGAGUCUCACUCUGUCACCCAGGCUAGAGUUCAGUGGCGCAAUCUCAGCUCACUGCAACCUCCACCUCCUGGAUUCAAGCGAUUCUCCUGCCUCAGCCUCCCUAGUAGCUGAGAUUACAGGCACCUGCCACCACGCCUGGCUAAUUUUUUGUAUUUUUAGGAGAGACAGCUUUUCACUAUGUUGGCCCAGAUGGUCUCGAACUCCUGACUUCAAGUGAUCCACCUGCCUUGGCCUCCCAAAGUGCAAGGAUUACAGGCGUGAGCCACCGCACCUGGCCGCAUUUAUGAUUUCUUUGUUACAAACAUUACAAUUAUACUCUUUUAGUUAUUCUUUAAAUGUACAAUAAAUUGUUGACUGCAGUCUUCCUGUUGUGCUAUCAAAUACUGGAUCGUAUUCAUUUCUUUUACCUAUAUUUUGUACCCAUUAAUCAUACCCACUCCCCUGCACCCUGCCUCCAAUUUAAGUAAUUUUUAACAGCCUCAGAGACAGGCAAAAUGUAUCUUCAGGACUCUUCAUUCCCCUCAAGUAUCUCGGGUCCUCAUUCUGGUCCCCUAUUUAAUCACCCUCUCUGAAUCCCCUUCCCCCGAUAUUACCUUUCCUAGGGGAUAAUGGUUCAAUGGAGGAUAAUGGUUUAAUGGGUUUUUUAGUCUCUCUCCCUAUCUACCCUCUCACCAUAUCUGUAUUUUAACCGGGCUUUCUGGUGACAAUACUGUGCCUCUAGAGGAACUGUCUGAAUUGUGGGGAUUUGAGGCAGCAACUUGGCAGGCUGUUGAGGGGAUAAGAGGGUUGCAUUUGGGGAGCGGGUAUACCUCUCAAAUCCCCAUUCUGCAGACAGUCACCUACACAUGAGCAUUCCCUGCUGAGAAGCUGGCUGGAGCUUCUUUUGGCUGCGCCUCCCAUCUCCUGCCGUAGUCUGGCAGGCAUGAGCAGGAACGUGGGCAAAAGCCUUGCUUCCCUGUUCGGAGCAGAGCAUUAACUGUUCUGUGUUGUUGGCUGAGAACAAUUAGUGCAGGUUUCUCUGGGUAACUGGGUGAAACACAGGCCCUGUGCAUAAUUCUACGUGCUCACCCCUUGCCUGCAUAUGACUAUUUUCAAACAAAUUUCCCAUCCAGAAGUGCUCAGCUUCUCAGAGAGCCCCCAUGCCUGGCUUCUUGCUCUGGCCCUCCACCGAGCUGGGACGCAGCUGGAUUGCAAUUCCAUGGCCGUCCACUUCCUGCUGCUCCACGCUGGACUGUGGUCAUCCUCGUGCUAAGGAAGGUCACGGGCUUGUUAAUUAGCUGGAAAGCAAAGACAGACAGGAUACAAAUGUUCCUAGAAAGAAACUAGCAUAGUGUGACGUCAGUACUGUUUUCAACUUUUAGCUGCUACCCUUUCCUGUUUCCUGAGGACAUUUCAACAUGACUUCGAGCACAGUUAAAGUGAACUGCCAAGGUUAAGCGAGCUUUCCUUCCUUACGGAAUCUCCCAGCCCCUAAUUCUAUAAUACUACUCGCUUAGUUUGGCUGUGGUGAAACCCACCUUGUCCUCUACUAAAGAUAUGGAACGAAGACCUCGUCAGUCAAUCUUCCAUGAUCCCGGCCACCGCAAUUGGCUCAGGUCGUUGCUGCCAUGAAGUAAGAGUCUGUCUGGAAAUGAAGGCGAGCAGAGGCCACAAAGCUGAGACAUGGAGACAGAGAGAGUCCUGAUGUUAUUAUUUGAACCAUUGAGUCCAGCUGUGCCUGAAACUCUUCAGUGAGCCAAGAAAUUCCUUUUUGGCUUAAGCCAAUUGGAGUCGUGUUUGUGAUACUUGCAAAUGAAAGGAGUUAUUGACUAAUAAAACUGCCAUUUCUAUCUCUCCAAGAAUUAGGAAAUACUUCUUUAAAACUGUUUAUUUGCAGUAUGCUUUAUUCCUUCCCACAAAAAAGAGGCAGCUUAUAAAAGUAAAUAUGAAAAAUAGGCACAAAGGGUGUAUAAUACAUGAAAUACAUGUGUAUAUGUCUAGCACAGUCUUUAUAUUAAGUUGACAAAAAUUAUUAUUAUUAUUAUUAUUUUUGCAACAGAGUUUCACUCUUGUCACCCAGGCUGGAGUUCAAUGGCAUGAUCUCGGCUCACUGCAACCUCCACCUCCUGGGUUCAAGUGAUUCUCCAGCUUCAGCCUCCCGAGUAGCUGGAAUUACAGGUGCCCGCCACCACCAGCCCAGUUAAUUUUUGUAUUUUUGGUAGAGAUGGGGUUUCACCAUGUAGGCCAGGCUGGUCUUGAAUUCCUGACCUCAGGUGAUCUGCCUACCUUGGCCUCCCAAAGUGCUGGGAUUACAGGCGUAAGUCACUGCACCUGGCCCAAAAAUUAUUUUUUAAGUUACAGUACGAACUACUGCUGAGGGUGCUGGGUAAUUAACAUUGUUGGAGAAAUUAUAAACUGGUGCAAACCUUCUGGAGAUAAAUUUGACAAUGCUUAUUCAUAUCCAUUGUUUGUCUAUAAUCAACCAUUCUUCUUUUAGGAAUGCAUCUGAAAGAAAUAAUUACAUAAAUAAGGAGAUAUGCAAAGAUUUAGCUAUGAGAAUGAUUGUUUAAUCACCAGAAGUUGGAAAACAGCCUGAAUAUCCAAUGACAUAAAAACAAAAUUGGCGGGGCGCGGUGGCUCACGCCUGUAAUCCCAGCACUUUGGGAGGCCGAGGCGGGCGGAUCACAAGGUCAGAGAUCGAGACCAUCCUGGCUAAGACGGUGAAACCCCAUCUCUACUAAAAAUCAAAAAAUUAGCCGGGCCUGGUGGCGGGUGUCUGUAGUCCCAGCUACUUGGGAGGCUGAGGCAGGAGAAUGGCCUGAACCCAGGAGGCGGAGCUGGCAGUGAGCCGAGAUGAUGCCACUGCACUCCAGCCUGGGCGACAGAGAGAGACUCUGUCUCAAAAAAAAAAAAAAAAAAUUAUCUGUCCACCAAUUGGAAUACCAUGUAUUUAUUAAAAUAAUGAUGUGGAAUUUUAUUUACUGACUUGGAACAAUAUUCAUAUAUUGUGAACUGGCUUUGGACUAAUACAUUUAAAUUCUCCCUAGGCUGACUGGGCGCGGUGGUCCGUGCCUGUAAUCCCAGCACUAUGGGAGGCUGAGACGGGUGGAUCACUUGAGAGCAGGAAUUUGAGACCAGCCUGGCCAAGAUGGUGAAACUCCAUCUCUACAAAAAUACAAAAAUUAGCCAGGCAUGGUGGCAUGCACCUGUAAUCCCAGCUACUCAGGAGGCUGAGGCAGGAGAAUCGCUUGAACCCGGGAGGUGGAGGUUGCAGUGAGCCGAGAUUGCACCACUGCACUCCACCGUGGGUGACAGAGUGAGAUGCUGUCUCAAUAAAAUAAAAUAAAACAAUUAAUUCUCCCUAGGCUGCAGCAAGAAUCGAAUGAAUCACUCUUAACCCCAUGCCAAACAAACAAACAAACAAACAAAAAAACCCUACUUGUUGGUUGUGGGCCUUAAAAAGAGAGCUGUAUAGAAGUGGCAAAAAUUAAGUUUGUGUAUCCUUGCUUGGGUCAAAUUUGGCUGUCCAUAGAUAUGAGGUUAAUUUUUUCCUGUUAGAGCAUGUGCUGGUUCUAUCUAUACAUGCUCCAAUUUUCAAAUAUUUCACUAAUAUUAGGAGAUUAUCUGUUGGCAUUGAGUUGGGUCUCAAAGUAUCAUCUAUUCUAGACCAAUGGUCACCAAAAUGUAUGUAUCCUCAAAAUAAAGCACUGGU